Molecule: ribosomal RNA, 453 nt
Filed under: uncultured bacterium
Lineage: Bacteria
Description: bacterial SSU rRNA
Rfam family: Bacterial small subunit ribosomal RNA
Source: RNAcentral
UACGGAAGGCAGCAGUGGGGAAUAUUGCACAAUGGGCGCAAGCCUGAUGCAGCCAUGCCGCGUGUAUGAAGAAGGCCUUCGGGUUGUAAAGUACUUUCAGUCGUGAGGAAGGUGUUAAGGUUAAUAACCUUAGCAAUUGACGUUAGCGACAGAAGAAGCACCGGCUAACUCCGUGCCAGCAGCCGCGGUAAUACGGAGGGUGCGAGCGUUAAUCGGAAUUACUGGGCGUAAAGGGCACGCAGGCGGUUAAUUAAGUUGGAUGUGAAAUCCCCGGGCUUAACCUGGGAAUGGCAUUCAAGACUGGUUAGCUAGAGUCUUGUAGAGGGGGUUAGAAUUCCAUGUGUAGCGGUGAAAUGCGUAGAGAUGUGGAGGAAUACCGGUGGCGAAGGCGGCCCCUGGACAAAGACUGACGCUCAUGUGCGAAAGCGUGGGGAGCAAACAGGAUUAGAUACC